Molecule: long non-coding RNA, 2705 nt
Organism: Sapajus apella (tufted capuchin)
Lineage: Eukaryota; Metazoa; Chordata; Mammalia; Primates; Cebidae
Exons: 3
Source: RefSeq, a predicted model, not a curated record
GGUAUGAGCCGAAUGCGGGGUUGAGGAGCGUGUUAUUGAGUAAUGGAGGUGGCUCUCAGCAAGAUGAAUGGCGAGCUGCAAAGGGGAUGGAAUGGGAAGCUGAUUUUCCCCUGGAGUUUAGCCGUCCAAUGGCCAAUCUCUCCUCCCUGACUGCACCAGCUGAAAUCUUGAUGUUCAGAUGUUCCUUCUCUUCUCUCCUUCUCUGCCACAUCAUCCUGCCGCUCUUCUGCUCUUCUGUUUGCCUGCUCAUCUACUUGUAGAGCCUGGGGCUUAGGGUUUAUAUGUGUAUAAGAUAGGGGGCGUGGCAGACCAAAAGGCAACAUUUGGGUGUGAAAACAGGAAUGCUUGUUCCCACUUCGGGUUGUGGGUUUCCAGGCUUGAGAGUGGGGCCAUUGCCAAGGAACCGCCCUCUUCUAACCCAGUAUUUUCCUGUCUCCUGUCCAUAUCAAUUGGACAUUUACACAGGUUCAGUUGAAGGAUCGGUGGUCUCAGCCGGUUUGAAGUGGACAAUGCUGACCCCAGCAUCCUAAAAAACAACUGUUACCAUGGCCCAGAGCUGCUCCAAGUGGAUCCUCUGUUCCUGUCCAACAGAAUCUUCGCAGGUCUGCCGUUUGGUGCUAUUUUCAAGACCAAUAUUUAAGUCUUUCUGGUGAAUUCCUGCCCAUCCGUCAAGAUCGAGCCUGCAUGGCCCCUCCUACCCAUCCUGGGGGCUUCCAUAGCCCUUCGUGUCAUCGCCACCAGAGCUUGAGAGCACAGCCUUGCACUUUAUCUGCUGACAGGUCCAUCUCCCCAGCUGGCCCUGAGCGGAUGCCCUGAGCGGAUUCUCAGGGGCGGAACCGCAUAGUGCCUGGCUUCCAUCACCUAAUACCAAGGCCUUUGCUGACACCAAAGCUCUGUAAAUGUUGCAGUCAAUUCCAAGCGUCUUUUUCUCAACUAUUCUCAUCUUAAUUUUUGUGGUCUCAAUGCCUUCCACAACGGUUUACUCUCUUACUCAGAUUUCACCUAUCUCACUGAAUGGUGGUAUUGGGUCACUUGGGGUCAGAAAACCCUUCCAAAAAUGCUGACACUCAGGCUAUUACUAUUGCUGGAAGUGAAGAAAGUGUCCUUCUUUUCUGACCCAGGAGCCUCAUGUCUUCUACCAACAUCCGUGAAAUUGUGGCAUGCAUGCUUAUUAGCCUGCAAAUGAGGUUAAGUCUCACUUCUUGGUGGUAUGGAGCACUGCAGGGUGAGGAAGUGUGCACGCACAGGCGCAGAGGCCUGGGGAGCCCAGCCUGCUGUUAGAACUGCCAGGAGAGCAGAUGACUGCGGCACACCCUUGCUGUGUGGGGUGGCAAGCAGCCUCUUCCUUCAGACUUCUGCCCAAAUGUGACCUCAUUAGAAUGGCCUUCCCUAACCAUCCCAGCGGACACAGAAUCUCACAUCACUCCCUGUCUCCUAUAUUGCUUUUCUGUCUUUCACACACGUACCACAUCAUCUCAUGUAUUUGUUGUCUAUACUUCCCUACAAAAUGGCAAAUCCCAUCAGAGAAGGAGCUUUGUUUCAUUCACUGCCGUAAUUAAUUCUACCACUUAGGACAGUGCCCCACCCUGGUUUGUAUCAUGGGUUAGAGCCUGUAAGCCAUGCCAGGAGCUUGGGUGAAUCCUGGGAGGUCAGAAGAGCCUUUCAAAUAUUGUAUGAUUUGCAUUUUAGGGCAACGAUCUCUUCAGCAGUUGGGAAGUUCAUUGAAGGAAGGCAAGACCACAGGAGUCUGGGAGGUCAGGUGGGAGGCAGGCGCAUCAUCUAGGAGGAGGGUGUUGGAGUAGAUUUAAGACACUGGGCUGAAGAGGAGUGGAGGAGUGUUGAAGCUAUCAAGGAUGAAUGGACAGGGCUUGGAGACCGAUCGGAUGUGGAAUGCAGGUGAGUAGGGGUCACAGACGGUGAUUUGGGUGACUGGCAAGUGGUUCAGAGCAUUCAGGGGAAAUGGGGGUGUACCUGGAGGUAAGAUGUUCAACUGGGGCAAAAGUUUGACUUACUGUUAUCUGCUGAACUGUGAGAAGGGCUGUUAUCCUGUGUUCAUUACUUGACACGAUCCGAUGGCCAGAAGUGUGUUGCUGGUGCCAGGGUCAGAAUGCGGGAGUGUCUCAGUCCUGUGUUCGCAGACCCUAAAGGAGAAGCAGGUUACAGGGGUUUCUAGUAGUCGUUUCUGAAGUCAGCUCCAGGUUAAACAGCCCUCAUUUAAGCUUACAUUUUCACACUUCUCCAAUUUCUGUUUUUCAAUAUUUUUACAUUUUUAAUUUAUAUGCCACAAAAUGCACAAUUCUUGGGCACACAUCCCUGUGAAUAUUUACCUUUGCAUACACCCAUGGAACCACCCAAAUCAAGAUUCAGACCCUUUCCAUAUUUCCAGAAAGCUAUUUGUGCCUCUUCCAAGUCCAAGGUAACCAUGCUCACCCAAAGGUAACCUCUGUCUGACUUUCAUCGUCUAGGAUCAACAAUGCUGAUUCUUGAACUUCAUGUAAAUAGAAUUGCACAGUAUGUACUUUUUAUAUGUGUCUUGUUCUUUCAACAUCAUGACUAUGAGGUUCACCUUUCAGAAAUUUGCUGUUUUUAUCAUAGCUGUGUAAUGUUCCAUUGUAUAAAUAUGCCAUAAUUUGUUUACCAUUCUCCUGUUGAUGGGCAUCUGGGUUGUUUAGAAUAAAGCUGCAAUAAACUUUCUGGUCCAAGUC